GACGAGCGCUGGCGGCGUGCCUAAUACAUGCAAGUUGAGCGCUGAAGGUUGGUACUUGUACCAACUGGAUGAGCAGCGAACGGGUGAGUAACGCGUGGGGAAUCUGCCUUUGAGCGGGGGACAACAUUUGGAAACGAAUGCUAAUACCGCAUAAAAACUUUAAACACAAGUUUUAAGUUUGAAAGAUGCAAUUGCAUCACUCAAAGAUGAUCCCGCGUUGUAUUAGCUAGUUGGUGAGGUAAAGGCUCACCAAGGCGAUGAUACAUAGCCGACCUGAGAGGGUGAUCGGCCACAUUGGGACUGAGACACGGCCCAAACUCCUACGGGAGGCAGCAGUAGGGAAUCUUCGGCGAUGGACGAAAGUCUGACCGAGCAACGCCGCGUGAGUGAAGAAGGUUUUCGGAUCGUAAAACUCUGUUGGUAGAGAAGAAAGUUGGUGAGAGUGGAAAGCUCAUCAAGUGACGGUAACUACCCAGAAAGGGACGGCUAACUACGUG
This 497-nucleotide ribosomal RNA is filed under the name uncultured bacterium. RNAcentral's name for it is "partial 16S ribosomal RNA". It matches the Rfam family "Bacterial small subunit ribosomal RNA", at positions 28 to 507 of the family's 1533-position model. The record is from RNAcentral.